GAUGAACGCUGGCGGCGUGCCUAAUACAUGCAAGUCGAGCGAACGGACGAGAAGCUUGCUUUUCUGAUGUUAGCGGCGGACGGGUGAGUAACACGUGGAUAACCUACCUAUAAGACUGGGAUAACUUCGGGAAACCGGAGCUAAUACCGGAUAAUAUUUUGAACCGCAUGGUUCAAAAGUGAAAGACGGUCUUGCUGUCACUUAUAGAUGGAUCCGCGCUGCAUUAGCUAGUUGGUAAGGUAACGGCUUACCAAGGCAACGAUGCAUAGCCGACCUGAGAGGGUGAUCGGCCACACUGGAACUGAGACACGGUCCAGACUCCUACGGGAGGCAGCAGUAGGGAAUCUUCCGCAAUGGGCGAAAGCCUGACGGAGCAACGCCGCGUGAGUGAUGAAGGUCUUCGGAUCGUAAAACUCUGUUAUUAGGGAAGAACAUAUGUGUAAGUAACUGUGCACAUCUUGACGGUACCUAAUCAGAAAGCCACGGCUAACUACGUGCCAGCAGCCGCGGUAAUACGUAGGUGGCAAGCGUUAUCCGGAAUUAUUGGGCGUAAGCGCGCGUAGGCGGUUUUUUAAGUCUGAUGUGAAAGCCCACGGCUCAACCGGGGAGGGUCAUUGGAAACUGGAAAACUUGAGUGCAGAAGAGGAAAGUGGAAUUCCAUGUGUAGCGGUGAAAUGCGCAGAGAUAUGGAGGAACACCAGUGGCGAAGGCGACUUUCUGGUCUGUAACUGACGCUGAUGUGCGAAAGCGUGGGGAUCAAACAGGAUUAGAUACCCUGGUAGUCCACGCCGUAAACGAUGAGUGCUAAGUGUUAGGGGGUUUCCGCCCCUUAGUGCUGCAGCUAACGCAUUAAGCACUCCGCCUGGGGAGUACGACCGCAAGGUUGAAACUCAAAGGAAUUGACGGGGACCCGCACAAGCGGUGGAGCAUGUGGUUUAAUUCGAAGCAACGCGAAGAACCUUACCAAAUCUUGACAUCCUUUGACAACUCUAGAGAUAGAGCCUUCCCCUUCGGGGGACAAAGUGACAGGUGGUGCAUGGUUGUCGUCAGCUCGUGUCGUGAGAUGUUGGGUUAAGUCCCGCAACGAGCGCAACCCUUAAGCUUAGUUGCCAUCAUUAAGUUGGGCACUCUAAGUUGACUGCCGGUGACAAACCGGAGGAAGGUGGGGAUGACGUCAAAUCAUCAUGCCCCUUAUGAUUUGGGCUACACACGUGCUACAAUGGACAAUACAAAGGGCAGCGAAACCGCGAGGUCAAGCAAAUCCCAUAAAGUUGUUCUCAGUUCGGAUUGUAGUCUGCAACUCGACUACAUGAAGCUGGAAUCGCUAGUAAUCGUAGAUCAGCAUGCUACGGUGAAUACGUUCCCGGGUCU
RNAcentral lists this ribosomal RNA (1371 nucleotides) under uncultured bacterium. RNAcentral describes it as "bacterial SSU rRNA". It matches the Rfam family "Bacterial small subunit ribosomal RNA", at positions 28 to 1381 of the family's 1533-position model. The record is from RNAcentral.